AUCCUGUGAAGCUGCAAUUCCCUAAUGUUUUGUGUGCCUUCUGCAUCCUGCAAAUACAUCCAUCACUUCAGCUCUGGCACUGCAUGCCUACCUCUGCUAAUUAUCACCUCUUUAUCCACACUCUUCUUCCUUAGCAAGCAAGUUCAAAGCCUCAGCAGAAGAAAAGGCCAAACAAGAAAUUAUCCCAAGCCUGGCAGCAUUUCCACUUCCUAUAUUUUAUUAUCCACCUCCUCCAGAUGAAGGGAAAUGGAACAGUGAAAGAAAGAAAAGCCAAGGAGAAAAAGGUCUGGGUGCAUAUCCAAGCCACCCAACUGUGACAGUGAAACACCAUACGUGCAAGCUUGAGAAGAUGACCUACAUGAACCUAAUGAGGUCCAGCAAGGCCAAGUGCAAGGUGCCAUGAAGGAAAGACAGGGGUGGGAUGCAGCCUGCAAUUUGGACAUGCACUACGUCUCUGGACUUAUGUUAAAGACAGUGCACACACAGGGUACAGUUCGUUUUCCUACCCACCAGCUGCCAGCCAAGAAGAGAAUGGGUCUUCCGUAGACACCCUGUCAUAUCUGUCACCCCAUGCAAAUGUCUCACAUUCCUUAAGGUGUCUCAAAGGGCACGAGAAGACUGUUUAGGCACCUUAAUGGAGUCCAAAGCUACAGUCAUGUCAAGGCCAAAAGUGUCAUCAUUAUGGAUGUGGUUGUUUUCAGUAGAAGGUUACCUGAAAUCGCAUCAAACCCUCCAGGCAAGUCAGAACUCAAUAGAAAAUGGAAUGAGAGCACUUCCAGAGGGCUGUAAGUUCAGACUACGUAUCAAAGCUGGCUGAAACAAGAAACAAGCAAACCCUUGCUGAUAUCUCUGCCAAAUCAACGAUACACUUCAGACACACAGCUGGAUUGGGAUUCCCAAAGGAACCAAAAGCAUUUAGAUACCCAGAUCUUUGAAAUCAAUGGCCAGUUCCUCCCAGCUUCCUCGAAUACCAUUGAGAAUACAGAUCUGAUUUUGGUUUUGCUU
Long non-coding RNA from Gallus gallus (chicken), 1005 nucleotides. NCBI's taxonomy places the organism in Eukaryota, Metazoa, Chordata, Aves, Galliformes, Phasianidae. The record is from Ensembl.